RNAcentral lists this unclassified non-coding RNA (410 nucleotides) under Hevea brasiliensis (rubber tree). Lineage: Eukaryota; Viridiplantae; Streptophyta; Magnoliopsida; Malpighiales; Euphorbiaceae. The record is from RNAcentral.
GGCUAUAAAGGUUCAAUCUUUAAACUCAAACAGCAAAGUUGAUUUAAGAUCAAGUAUCACAAGAGUACAAUUCAUCCAAUGGUACAAGUCUAAAUUACAAACAAGGACAACAACCACACAAUCUCAAGUGGUGUAGUGAACAAUGAAAAAGGAAUUAAACUAUCAAGCAAGAGAAUGGUAAUGAUGGUAGUGUGGUUCACUUUGAAUACAGAGGAUUGCAUAAAGAGCAUAGAUAAUUCCAGGAACAUAGCCCAAUAUGGUCAAAAUCAAGCAAAUCAAGAACUCCACAGUGCAGCAACCAUGGCGAAGGCAAACACCAAGAGGAGGAAGAAAGAUUGCUAGUAAAACUUCACACAGAAUUGCACAUCUUGAGUCCAUUCUUCAACACACAAGAGGAAUGGGGGUGGGGG